This 253-nucleotide ribosomal RNA is filed under the name uncultured bacterium. RNAcentral describes it as "partial 16S ribosomal RNA". It matches the Rfam family "Bacterial small subunit ribosomal RNA", at positions 524 to 776 of the family's 1533-position model. The record is from RNAcentral.
UACAGAGGGUGCGAGCGUUAAUCGGAAUUACUGGGCGUAAAGCGCGCGUAGACGGUUUUGUAAGUCAGAUGUGAAAUCCCUGGGCUCAACCUGGGAACUGCAUUUGAGACUGCAUGGCUAGAGUAUCGAAGAGGGAAGCGGAAUUUCCGGUGUAGCAGUGAAAUACGUAGAUAUCGGAAGGAACAUCAGUGGCGAAAGCGGCUUCCUGGUUCAGCACCGACGUUCAGGCACGAAAGCGUGGGGAGCAAACAGG